CCUACGUGUGGCUGCAGUGAGGAAUAUUGGUCAAUGGCCGUAAGGCUGAACCAGCCAAGUAGCGUGAGGGAAGACUGCCCUAUGGGUUGUAAACCUCUUUUAUGCGGGGAUAAAGGUGUCCACGGGUGGAUGUUUGCAGGUACCGCAUGAAUAAGGACCGGCUAAUUCCGUGCCAGCAGCCGCGCGAAUACGGAGGAUCCGAGCUUUAUCCGGAUUUAUUGGGUUUAAAGGGAGCGUAGAUGGGUUGUUAAGUCAGUUGUGAAAGUUUGCGGCUCAACCGUAAAAUUGCAAUUGAUACUUGCAGUCUUGAGUACAGUUGAUGGAGGCGGAAUUCGUGGUGUAGCGGUGAAAUGCUUAGAUAUCACGAAGAACCCCGAUUGCGAAGGCAGCUUACUAAACUGUGACUGACAUUGAUGCUCGAAAGUGUGGGUAUCAAACAGGAUUAGAUACCCGAGUAGUC
RNAcentral lists this ribosomal RNA (460 nucleotides) under uncultured bacterium. RNAcentral describes it as "partial 16S ribosomal RNA". It matches the Rfam family "Bacterial small subunit ribosomal RNA", at positions 338 to 795 of the family's 1533-position model. The record is from RNAcentral.